Molecule: ribosomal RNA, 216 nt
Filed under: uncultured fungus
Lineage: Eukaryota; Fungi
Description: partial small subunit ribosomal RNA
Rfam family: Eukaryotic small subunit ribosomal RNA (bases 47-216)
Source: RNAcentral
GGAUCGACGGGUCGGUCGCGCCUCCGGUGUGUACUGGCCUGGUCGGUUCCUCCCUUCUGAAGAACCGCGAUGUCAUUAAUUUGGUGUCGUGGGGAAUCAGGACUGUUACUUUGAAAAAAUUAGAGUGUUUAAAGCAGGCAAACGCUUGAAUACAUUAGCAUGGAAUAAUGAAAUAGGACGUUCGAUCCUAUUUCGUUGGUUUCUAGGGUCAACGUA